RNAcentral lists this ribosomal RNA (484 nucleotides) under uncultured bacterium. Its description in RNAcentral is "partial 16S ribosomal RNA". It matches the Rfam family "Bacterial small subunit ribosomal RNA", at positions 29 to 523 of the family's 1533-position model. The record is from RNAcentral.
AGUGAACGCUGGCGGCGUGCUUAACACAUGCAAGUCGAACGAGAACGGGUUAUAGCUUGCUAUAAUUGUCAGCUAAGUGGCGCACGGGUGAGUAAUGUAUAGGUAAUAUGCCUCUUACUAAGGGAUAACAAAUGGAAACGUUUGCUAAUACCUUAUACUCCUUAUUAACAUAAGUUAAUAAGGGAAAGAUUUAUUGGUAAGAGAUUAGCCUGUAUUGUAUCAGUUAGUUGGUGGGGUAAUGGCUUACCAGGACUAUGACACAUAACUGGUUUGAGAGGAAGAUCAGUCACACUGGAACUGAGACACGGUCCAGACUCCUACGGGAGGCAGCAGUGGGGAAUAUUGCACAAUGGACGAAAGUCUGAUGCAGCAACGCCGCGUGGAGGAUGACACAUUUCGGUGCGUAAACUCCUUUUAUAUGAGAAGAUAAUGACGGUAUUAUAUGAAUAAGCACCGGCUAACUCCGUGCCAGCCGCCGCAGUAA